The submitters of this non-coding RNA (97 nucleotides) gave its source as unclassified sequences. The record is from Rfam.
AUAAUGAUACUCCCCUAUAGCCACAGUCAAAGCUUAGACGGCUUGUAAAGGCAAUGGGUAGGGCUGGACUGUAAGUGCAGGAGUGAAAUUCUCGUGA